Molecule: ribosomal RNA, 450 nt
Filed under: uncultured bacterium
Lineage: Bacteria
Description: partial 16S ribosomal RNA
Rfam family: Bacterial small subunit ribosomal RNA
Source: RNAcentral
GUGGGGAAUUUUGGACAAUGGGCGCAAGCCUGAUCCAGCAAUGCCGCGUGCAGGAAGAAGGCCUUCGGGUUGUAAACUGCUUUUGUACGGAACGAAACGGUCCAGGUUAAUACCCUGGGCUAAUGACGGUACCGUAAGAAUAAGCACCGGCUAACUACGUGCCAGCAGCCGCGGUAAUACGUAGGGUGCAAGCGUUAAUCGGAAUUACUGGGCGUAAAGCGUGCGCAGGCGGUUUUGUAAGACGGGCGUGAAAUCCCCGGGCGCAACCUGGGAAUUGCGCUUGUGACUGCAAGGCUGGAGUGCGGCAGAGGGGGAUGGAAUUCCGCGUGUAGCAGUGAAAUGCGUGGAUAUGCGGAGGAACACCGAGGGCGAAGGCAAUCCCCUGGGCCUGCACUGACGCUCAUGCACGAAAGCGUGGGGAGCAAACAGGAUUAGAAACCCCAGUAGUCC